RNAcentral lists this ribosomal RNA (527 nucleotides) under fungal sp. RNAcentral's name for it is "eukaryotic LSU rRNA". The stretch from base 145 to 298 matches the Rfam family "5.8S ribosomal RNA". Lineage: Eukaryota; Fungi. The record is from RNAcentral.
ACUCCAACCCAUGUGAACAUACCUACCGUUGCUUCGGCGGGAUUGCCCCGGGCGCCUCGUGUGCCCCGGAUCAGGCGCCCGCCUAGGAAACUUAAUUCUUGUUUUAUUUUGGAAUCUUCUGAGUAGUUUUUACAAAUAAAUAAAAACUUUCAACAACGGAUCUCUUGGUUCUGGCAUCGAUGAAGAACGCAGCGAAAUGCGAUAAGUAAUGUGAAUUGCAGAAUUCAGUGAAUCAUCGAAUCUUUGAACGCACAUUGCGCCCGCCAGUAUUCUGGCGGGCAUGCCUGUCUGAGCGUCAUUUCAACCCUCAUGCCCCUAGGGCGUGGUGUUGGGGAUCGGCCAAAGCCCGCGAGGGACGGCCGGCCCCUAAAUCUAGUGGCGGACCCGUCGUGGCCUCCUCUGCGAAGUAGUGAUAUUCCGCAUCGGAGAGCGACGAGCCCCUGCCGUUAAACCCCCAACUUUCCAAGGUUGACCUCAGAUCAGGUAGGAAUACCCGCUGAACUUAAGCAUAUCAAUAAGCGGAGGAA